RNAcentral lists this long non-coding RNA (249 nucleotides) under Volvox carteri. Its description in RNAcentral is "long non-coding RNA (VCAR_LNC002531)". The record is from RNAcentral. Lineage: Eukaryota; Viridiplantae; Chlorophyta; Chlorophyceae; Chlamydomonadales; Volvocaceae.
GCAGGAUGCCAAUGACGUUAGCAGUUGAUCGUUGGUUGACUCAAAACCUGAUGCACAGUUACCAAGUCAGAUUGACGCAACAUGAUAGCAGCAGUACUACAUGUGCACUCAACUCUUGAAUUUCGGGUAUGCCGCAAGAGCGGCUCCAAAAUGUAUGACAAAUCGUCUGUUUUUUUCCUUUCUCCUACCCUUUCCAUGUGGAUGGUAAAGAUUCUAGCUAUAUAAUUGAAAUUGCCAUUGUAGCAGCAC